GGACUGGCGCACGAGCGGAAAAAUACCUGCAAACCACCCUAUUCGUAACGGUCUCGAAAACCGUUAUCCGUCGUUAGGCGGAUCGAGGGUUCGAAUCCCUCCCCCUCCG
Molecule: transfer RNA, 109 nt
Filed under: Actinomycetota bacterium
Lineage: Bacteria; Bacillati; Actinomycetota
Description: tRNA-Ser
Source: RNAcentral